GACAAACGCUGGCGGCGUACCUAAGACAUGCAAGUCGAACGGGGACUCCGUCUUCGGAUGGAGUUCGAGUGGCGAACGGGUGAGUAACACGUAGGAACCUGCCGCGUCGUGGGGGAUAACAGCCGGAAACGGGUGCUAAUACCGCAUGUGGUCACCUUCGGGUGAAGAAAGCAGCAAUGCGCGACGUGAGGGGCCUGCGGCCGAUUAGCUGGUUGGUGUGGUAACGGCGCACCAAGGCGACGAUCGGUAGCUGGUCUGAGAGGAUGGUCAGCCACACUGGGACUGAGAUACGGCCCAGACUCCUACGGGAGGCAGCAGUUAGGAAAUUUUCCCAAUGGGCGCAAGCCUGAGGGAGUAACGCCGCGUGGAGG
Molecule: ribosomal RNA, 371 nt
Filed under: uncultured bacterium
Lineage: Bacteria
Description: bacterial SSU rRNA
Rfam family: Bacterial small subunit ribosomal RNA
Source: RNAcentral